This 434-nucleotide ribosomal RNA is filed under the name Marmota monax (woodchuck). RNAcentral's name for it is "LSU_rRNA_archaea". It matches the Rfam family "Eukaryotic large subunit ribosomal RNA", at positions 2528 to 3001 of the family's 3401-position model. The record is from RNAcentral. Lineage: Eukaryota; Metazoa; Chordata; Mammalia; Rodentia; Sciuridae.
AUGUGGUGGUAUCUCAUUGUGGCUCUAAUUUGCAUUUCUCUAGGGCAGAUUAAAAAGUAAAGUUGGUGACCCACUUCAGGAAUAGUGCCAGAUGGGAAGUUUGGAAAAGUACACCUGUCAGAGGACAAGAGAAGUUUCUUAAGGCAGGCCCAGAGAGGACAGAAACCCCCCAUGGAGCAGAAGGGCAAAAGCCCACUUGGUCUUAAUUUUCAGCACAAAUACAGACCAUGAAAGUGUGGCAUCAUGAUCCUUCUGGUCUUUCGGGGUUUAAGCAAGAGGUAUCAGGAAAGUGAGAGAACUGGCUGUGGCAGCCAGCAUGCAUAGUAACUUUCUCUUUUGAUCCCUCAAUGUAGAUUAUUCUUAUCAUUGUUCACCCACUAAUAGGGAACAUGAACCUGGUUUAAACUGUUAUGAGUUAGUUUUAUCCUACUGAU